GCGGUCGUGGCGGAAUUGGCAGACGCGCCAGAUUCAGGUUCUGGUGGUAGCAAUACCGUGGAGGUUCAAGUCCUCUCGACCGCACCA
This 87-nucleotide transfer RNA is filed under the name Thermobacillus sp. ZCTH02-B1. Its description in RNAcentral is "tRNA-Leu". It matches the Rfam family "tRNA". From Rfam's summary of the family: Transfer RNA (tRNA) molecules are approximately 80 nucleotides in length. Their secondary structure includes four short double-helical elements and three loops (D, anti-codon, and T loops). Lineage: Bacteria; Bacillati; Bacillota; Bacilli; Caryophanales; Paenibacillaceae. The record is from RNAcentral.